UUAAUUGUGGCCUACAGGAUCUUUAGUUGCAGCAUUUGAACUCUCAGCUGGGCAAGUGGGAUCUAAUUCCCUGAUAGGGAUUGAACCCACGCCCCCCGCACUGCAAGUGAAGAGUCUUGAAUGCUGGAUCACCAUGGAAGUCCCAGGAGUAGGUCUUCAGUGAAGAGGUUAGAAACUUGGUGUGGUUGAUGACUUGAUUAUUUGCAAGUAGCUUCUGGCAGUUUUUAGUUAGGAUUGAUUGAUGUAAGGAGACGGCUGGCUCUUUUGAAAGGGUCUUAAGAGGAGUCAGGCAGAGCUGUUUGAUUUGCAGCUCUGAAAUCAGAGCUGGGGCCGGGGACUCCAGAGACUUUCAAGUAGUAAACACCUCUGCUGAGGCUGCAAGUGAAAACUCAUUGGUGAAAACGGAGAUAUAUUCACUCAUUCAAUCCUUUAUUCUGUCACUCAACAAAAUUAUGGAGCAUCUUUGUGGGGCCUUCUCAUUUGCCAUUUACUUUACACGGGUCUCCUGCAUUGGCAGGCAGGUUCUUCACCACCAGCACCACCUGUGCCUAGGGUACUUACCUGGGAGGAAGACGCUUCUGAGUUCACCCACCAUGGCUCCUGGAACUUUGCCUCCUCCUGGGAAAAGUACCUGUGAGCAGGGGUCACUCAUCAACUCAGCCUUCCUCUGUCUCCUCACGAAUUUCUAGACCCACUGGGCAUCUUUCUGGAAGGUUGAAGCUGGAUUCCAAACGUAAACACUAUUUGUCGGAGCGCGGCGCCAUCACUCGCACGCAGAGGCGGACGGCUCUGUGAUGGCCGGGUGUGCUGGGCAUCGGCCUGACGCUCUUCCUACUGCUUCUGCCCAUGGAGCCUGGCAGGUUCCAAUUUCACUGCCAUGAUUCACAAGGAGUGGAGGGUCAGGCCAGGACCAGUCCUCUUCUUAGAGGCAACUCCAACAUCUGAGCUCUGUCCCUUGUCAUCAACGUGAAGACACCUGAGGCAAAUGGGUGAAAGGAACAGGGAGGGGUGUCCCACACACUCCCAGGCACCCAGCGCCUUCACCACAGGACACCCAGACCCGGCCUGGCUAGACAGAUGCCUCUUGGCUCUCUCCGAGCCUGUGCCCACCUGUCCACGUUCAGCUGCAGGUGGGCAGGCGGCACAUAGGCAUCUCUGAUUUAGGCACUUGCCACCCCUUAUCGAAUGACCUUGCGAGUUAUUUGGUGUCUCUGGGCCUGUUUCACCAGCAGUGUUAACAGUUCAGUUCAGUUCAGUUGCUCA
Bubalus bubalis (water buffalo) is the source of this 1263-nucleotide long non-coding RNA. RefSeq lists it as uncharacterized. The transcript has 3 exons. Lineage: Eukaryota; Metazoa; Chordata; Mammalia; Artiodactyla; Bovidae. The record is from RefSeq and is a predicted model, not a curated record.